AGGACGAACGCUGGCGGCGUGCUUAACACAUGCAAGUCGAACGGUGAACCAGGGCUUGCCCUGGGAAUCAGUGGCGAACGGGUGAGUAACACGUGACCAACCUGCCCCUAACUCUGGGAUAACCCCGGGAAACCGGAGCUAAUACCGGAUACGAGACCGAGUGGCAUCACACGGUCUGGAAAGUUUUUCGGUUAGGGAUGGGGUCGCGGCUAUCAGCUUGUUGGUGGGGUAAUGGCCUACAAGGCGACGACGGGUAGCCGG
RNAcentral lists this ribosomal RNA (261 nucleotides) under uncultured soil bacterium. RNAcentral describes it as "partial 16S ribosomal RNA". It matches the Rfam family "Bacterial small subunit ribosomal RNA", at positions 26 to 290 of the family's 1533-position model. The record is from RNAcentral.